GUUGAUAAUCAAUGGGCUUAUAUAAUAUAAGUUUAACAAUCUGUAUAAUAAUAUAACUUUGAAACAUUCUUACACUUGUCCAUUGCAUAAAGAAAAUGCAAAGUUAGGAUACUUGCCUGAUGCGCUGCUUACACUUACGCAACUUAGAUUUAUCGUUUCUAUCACGACCUAUCAUUAAUCAAAUCAUUUGUUCGAUUAGUAUAUCAUAACGUAACACAUAACACUGCCUAUUGCAGUCAGCAC
This 243-nucleotide long non-coding RNA is filed under the name Panax ginseng (ginseng). RNAcentral's name for it is "long non-coding RNA (PGIN_LNC001058)". The record is from RNAcentral. Lineage: Eukaryota; Viridiplantae; Streptophyta; Magnoliopsida; Apiales; Araliaceae.